RNAcentral lists this ribosomal RNA (210 nucleotides) under Darksidea sp. Its description in RNAcentral is "partial 18S ribosomal RNA". Lineage: Eukaryota; Fungi; Ascomycota; Dothideomycetes; Pleosporales; Lentitheciaceae. The record is from RNAcentral.
GCCUUCGGGCUCUGGUGAAAUGGGCUACCCGCAGCGAAGCUCCUGCCGCCUGCAUGCGCCGCACAGCGCACGAGGCAAGGAGAACGUUCACAGACUAGGCGGAAGUGGGUGGGGCUCAGCGGCCCUGCUUAAGAUAUAGUCGGGCCUCGAGGGAAACUUCGGGGGCGUACAGCAAACCGUUCCGUAGGUGAACCUGCGGAAGGAUCAUUA